UUGAUUUCAAACUUGGUUCGGCGUUUUAAUUUUUAUUACCGUAUCUCUUUUAAAUAUACGUUUUGACCAAGUUAACCAUUAACCAACUUUAUAUGCAUGAUAAUCAUGAUUAUCCAGGGUAUACACAUAUAUAAUUAUAUAAACGUCCCUAAUAUAUAUGAAUGCUUGGUUGGUAAACAAGACGAACAAUGAAUCUUUCGCACAUUAUACAAUUUACAAACUCUAAAUGUAACGAAAAAAAUUAUUAAUUAAAUCCGGAAAAUGAAAUCUUUCACGUUUUUCUUUUUCAGCAUUGACAGCAUACAAAGUCAAUGUUUCCGGUGACUAGUUGCUCCUCUGUUCGGUGAUUCGGGUGAAUGUUUGACCAGCUGGACGAUGUGAACGCAAGAUAAAUAGAACAGACAUAAAGUACAGCCCAGUGAAAGGAACAAGUUCAUCGCAAGAAGAAGAAUUUUAAUGCUACCACUGUCCAGAACUACUAAGUCUGCUGUAACCAUGAUGUGAUCAUAUGAGUGCUUCACCGGUCUGGACAAUGCUCGAAAAUCCCCCAAAAAGGCCUAUUUCCAUAAACUACGACUCGGGUUACAUCAACAACAGCCAAGGACACUCCUUAUUGAUUCGAAUGGACACGUCUCUACGACCCGACUAAACCUCUGCAGAACAAGACUUUUUAACUGUAAAGUAUUCUCAUUUCAAAAAACCUAUAAACUAUAAAAGUAAUUUUUUUUAUAUGAUCAAAUACCAGUAUAUUACAAUGUCUGUCUGUAAGCUAGAAUCUUAGAAAAUCACAUGGUUUUGACUUAUUAAAUAAUUGAUGAGAUAUUAACUUUCAUUUUCUUAAAUAAUUUGUUAUAUUUGCAAAUAUUGCAUAAAAUAUUAGACUCCAUGUAACAUUUAUCCUCAUACCUCCAAGUUGAUAAGUGUUAACUACUUUUUUUCGAUUUUCUUUGUUUAAACAUUUAUUGAUAAUUUAGUUUUUAUUUGCAGCAAUAUAUGAAAAAUUAAGAAACCAAUCUUAAAUGUAAAAACACUGCAUUAGGAGAUGAAUGCAUGGGUCAUAGAAAUGAUAAAAUACACCAAACAAUAUUCAAUUAUGUCGUAUAUGAAAAUAUAUAAAGACAACAAAUACCCCAUGUAUUACAAUUUUUAUUACUUGGAUGGAAAGUUGUUUCCAUGUGGGUUUUAUUUUAAUCUGUGUUAUGUAACUAAUAUUGGAAUUAGCUUUUAUAUCAUAAGUAAAAUGCUGGUAUUGAUGAGAAUUGUAAGGUGAAUGAUCUGUGUGAUACUUUGUAUUUUAUACAUUCAUGCUACAAAAAGCAAGUACAUGUACAUGUAGUAAUACUUGUCAUAUAUAAACAAUGUUUAUUUUACUUCAUGUCUUGGAUUUAAAAAUAUUAAUGUAGGUAAAGUAGUGAAAUGUAGGAAGGUAAACCGUGUGUAAAGAAGAAUAUUCAUCAGGAAUGAAGUGUGUUCAAUCAGCAUAAUUAAUUAAAUGUGUACAUCAUAUUUUUGCACAUGAUUUGACAGACUGCUCCAUUGUUAGCUUUUUAUUGGCCAACAAGCUUUUCAUAUCUCCCUCUGGGUCAUCUAUUAAAUACUGACAGGCUUAUGAUAUUAAAAUCUGAUCAGUUGGUACAUCAUGGGUGGAAAUGAAAAGUUCACUUUGGACUUAAUGGAUUAUCAAAAAAAUGAUAUCAAAUCCUGUUCUAUUGUAAAACAUUAGAUUAUAUUACUAACAAAGAAAAGGUUUAUCCCAACUUGUAAGUGGGUCACUUUGACCUCAUUUUUGGAAUUUAUUGACAUAUUCAAAUCAAAUCUGGGUCAUACCUCUAUAGUCAACUACUAUCUUGUAGUGUAUUUUUUUUUU
Long non-coding RNA from Magallana angulata, 1867 nucleotides. RefSeq lists it as uncharacterized. NCBI's taxonomy places the organism in Eukaryota, Metazoa, Mollusca, Bivalvia, Ostreida, Ostreidae. The record is from RefSeq and is a predicted model, not a curated record. The transcript is spliced from 2 exons.